ACUAUCAUUCUGAUCCGAUUGCAUCCACGUGCACUCGGUCGACAUGGGCCUUCAGCACUGAUCGCCUCGAAUUGCUCGCGAUUGUCGUGGUAGACAGGGGUGUGGCAGCAAUGCCGUCCAGUGUUGUCGACGAUCAACCCGUGC
Molecule: unclassified non-coding RNA, 144 nt
Filed under: uncultured Rozellomycota
Lineage: Eukaryota; Fungi; Rozellomycota
Description: uncultured Cryptomycota sequence contains ITS2
Source: RNAcentral